UGGGAUGUGGUCUAAUGGCAAGACGCUGCGCUGUUAACGCAGAUGAUGAUGGUUCGAAUCCAUCCAUCCCAG
Molecule: transfer RNA, 72 nt
Filed under: Fidelibacterota bacterium
Lineage: Bacteria; Pseudomonadati; Fidelibacterota
Also listed under: 1 other name
Description: tRNA-Asn
Rfam family: tRNA
About the family: Transfer RNA (tRNA) molecules are approximately 80 nucleotides in length. Their secondary structure includes four short double-helical elements and three loops (D, anti-codon, and T loops).
Source: RNAcentral